Molecule: transfer RNA, 73 nt
Filed under: Crypturellus undulatus
Lineage: Eukaryota; Metazoa; Chordata; Aves; Tinamiformes; Tinamidae
Description: tRNA-Trp
Rfam family: tRNA
About the family: Transfer RNA (tRNA) molecules are approximately 80 nucleotides in length. Their secondary structure includes four short double-helical elements and three loops (D, anti-codon, and T loops). Further hydrogen bonds mediate the characteristic L-shaped molecular structure. tRNAs have two regions of fundamental functional importance: the anti-codon, which is responsible for specific mRNA codon recognition, and the 3' end, to which the tRNAs corresponding amino acid is attached (by aminoacyl-tRNA synthetases). tRNAs cope with the degeneracy of the genetic code in two manners: having more than one tRNA (with a specific anti-codon) for a particular amino acid; and 'wobble' base-pairing, i.e. permitting non-standard base-pairing at the 3rd anti-codon position.
Source: RNAcentral
GAAACUUAGGAUAACCAAACCAAACCGAAGGCCUUCAAAGCCUUAAAUAAGAGUUGAAACUCUUAGUUUCUGC